GGAGUCUGCAACCCGACUCCAUGAAGCUGGAUUCGCUAGUAAUCGCGCAUCAGCCAUGGCGCGGUGAAUACGUUCCCGGGCCUUGUACACACCGCCCGUCAAGCCAUGGGAGCCGGGAGUGCCUGAAGUGCGUGACCGCAAGGAGCGCCCUGAGGCAAGACCGGUGACUGGGGCUAAGUCGUAACAAGGUAUC
Molecule: ribosomal RNA, 193 nt
Filed under: uncultured bacterium
Lineage: Bacteria
Description: partial 16S ribosomal RNA
Rfam family: Bacterial small subunit ribosomal RNA
Source: RNAcentral